UACGUAGGGUGCGAGCGUUGUCCGGAAUUAUUGGGCGUAAAGAGCUUGUAGGCGGUUUGUCGCGUCUGCCGUGAAAGUCCGGGGCUCAACUCCGGAUCUGCGGUGGGUACGGGCAGACUAGAGUGAUGUAGGGGAGACUGGAAUUCCUGGUGUAGCGGUGAAAUGCGCAGAUAUCAGGAGGAACACCGGUGGCGAAGGCGGGACUCUGGGCCGAUACUGACGCUGAGGAGCGAAAGCGUGGGGAGCAAACAGG
RNAcentral lists this ribosomal RNA (253 nucleotides) under uncultured bacterium. Its description in RNAcentral is "partial 16S ribosomal RNA". It matches the Rfam family "Bacterial small subunit ribosomal RNA", at positions 524 to 776 of the family's 1533-position model. The record is from RNAcentral.